This 429-nucleotide ribosomal RNA is filed under the name Gemmatimonadota bacterium. RNAcentral's name for it is "Gemmatimonadetes bacterium partial 16S ribosomal RNA". It matches the Rfam family "Bacterial small subunit ribosomal RNA", at positions 355 to 776 of the family's 1533-position model. The record is from RNAcentral. Lineage: Bacteria; Pseudomonadati; Gemmatimonadota.
UAGGGAAUCUUCGGCAAUGGACGAAAGUCUGACCGAGCCACGCCGCGUGAGUGAAGAAGGUUUUCGGAUCGUAAAACUCUGUUGUUAGAGAAGAACAAGGACGUUAGUAACUGAACGUCCCCUGACGGUAUCUAACCAGAAAGCAACGGCUAACUACGUGCCAGCAGCCGCGGUAAUACGUAGGUGGCAAGCGUUGUCCGGAGUUAUUGGGCGUAAAGCGAGCGCAGGCGGUUUCUUAAGUGUGAUGUGAAAGCCCCCGGCUCAACCGGGGAGGGUCAUUUGAAACUGGGAGACUUGAGGGCAGAAGAGGAGAGUGGAAUUCCAUGUGUAGCGGUGAAAUGCGUAGAUAUAUGGAGGAACACCAGUGGCGAAGGCGGCUCUCUGGUCUGUAACUGACGCUGAGGCUCGAAAGCGUGGGGAGCAAACAGG